Molecule: non-coding RNA, 28 nt
Filed under: Rattus norvegicus (Norway rat)
Lineage: Eukaryota; Metazoa; Chordata; Mammalia; Rodentia; Muridae
Source: RNAcentral
GGGCUUGCUAUAAUUUGUUGACUAACAG